CCAACCAGUAGAUCAGAAAGUUGCAUAAAAAAAAAGGUAUACAAAACAGCAAAACUAGAGCUCAAGUUACAGCGGCAAGGAGCAAGGUCAGUCAUAUACUUCUGAUAAAUAAAAAGGGACUACCAAAGUGAGUCACAAAAAUUUUGCGAAGCACUCGAUGAAGAAAGCAAUGACCAUCAUUAGUAUGCAUCGAUGAUUGAGUUAUGAUGUAAUCUUCAUUUUACGGUAAAGAUAACAUCAAUUAAAGAAAAAUGGUAAGCGACAAACAGUGGCAUGCGUUAAAAAGUAAUAAUAGCUCAAAACUACAACCGACAAAGCAAGCUGCCAGAGCCGCCAAUACAACAUGUUAGUUAACUCGUAGACAAAAGUUCAAACCUUUGCGAUAAAAACAAAUUCAGCACUCGAUAAAUAAAGCAAUGACCAUCAUUAGUAUGCAUCGAUGAUUGAGUUAUGAUGGAAUCUUCAUUAAAGAUAACAUCAAUUAAAGAAAAACGGUAAGCGACAAACAGUGGCAAGCGUUAAGAAGUAAUAAUAGCUCAAAACUACAACCGAC
Molecule: long non-coding RNA, 553 nt
Filed under: Solanum lycopersicum (tomato)
Lineage: Eukaryota; Viridiplantae; Streptophyta; Magnoliopsida; Solanales; Solanaceae
Description: long non-coding RNA (SLYC_LNC000832)
Source: RNAcentral